CUUCAGUGGAAACAGCUGCUCUCUGCACAGACAUGGCUUCUACCUCCAUGGAGAAGUCCUGGACGAUGGAAACAAAAAUACCCAGCUGCUAAGACAAUAAUUCGACACUGGAGUCGUACCAGCAGCUCGAUGACACUGUUGUGGACACACUCCUGGUUCGGGUUGGACCAAGACUUCAAGCGUUCGUUGGCAGCGGCCAGCCAAUUACUGACCGAGGCGAAGUUUGUGUGGAAUCUGUGGGGAGGAUGAGAGAAGACGAGGGUGACGCAGUGGAGCAGAACACGACUGCUCCUUCAGACGCUGAGUGAAGUUAUUUUCUGAGUCUGUCCCACCUGGAUCCAACGUCCUGGAUGUCUCUGCAGCGCUGAAUCUCUUGCUCGGC
Long non-coding RNA from Solea solea (common sole), 382 nucleotides. RefSeq lists it as uncharacterized. The record is from RefSeq and is a predicted model, not a curated record. NCBI's taxonomy places the organism in Eukaryota, Metazoa, Chordata, Actinopteri, Pleuronectiformes, Soleidae. The transcript has 3 exons.